AUCCACAUUUUCUGCUUUCUUCUCAUCUGUUCCCGGCACCUCUACAGCUUCUAUUUCGUCAACAUCUUUUUUUCUAAUCUUCUCAUCCAUUUCAACUUGGCUUACCAUGACCUCUUCAGCUUCCACUUGAUCUACUGCUGGUGCCACAUCCUCAUUUUCAGUUACCUGCUCUACCUCUCCCCGGCUUACACCUAUCAAGUCUUCAGUCUCCCUCUGAAUUACAGUAUCCCCCAUGGGAACUGCGCCAUCUUCCCUCUGACCCACUGCUGGAAUUAUAUCAUCUCUUCUUGUCGCCUGGUCCACCUCUUCUUGACUUGCUCUUAAUAAGCCUUCAACUUCCCUCUGGCUAACUGUCAGUCCUGCAUCGCCCUCUGCUUCUUCAGUCUUGUCUUGAUCCAUGGAUAAAAUGACAUCCUCUGCUUUCUUCUCUUCUGUUCCUGGUGUCUCCAUGGCUUCCACCUCAUCCACAUCCUUUUUUUUAAUUUCCUCCUCCACUUCUCCUUGACUUACCCUGGCCUCUUCAACUUCAUCUACAUCUCUCUUUUCUUUACUCAGAUCUUCUAAGACGGCCUCAACUUCUACCUGAUCUACUGCUGGUGACAUACCCUCAUUUCCAGUUAUCUGCUCCAUCUCUCCUUGGUUUAUGUUACCAAGCCUUCAAUCUCCCUCUGACUUACUGUUGAUACCACAUCUUUUUCUGUAGUCUUGCUCUCUGUCUCCUGCUGAUCUGCUUCUGACACAGUUUUGAUCUGAUCCACUCCAGAUGCCACA
This 771-nucleotide long non-coding RNA is filed under the name Anolis carolinensis (green anole). Its description in RNAcentral is "lncRNA (ENSACAG00000038867.1)". The record is from RNAcentral. Lineage: Eukaryota; Metazoa; Chordata; Lepidosauria; Squamata; Anolidae.